RNAcentral lists this ribosomal RNA (328 nucleotides) under uncultured Bacteroidota bacterium. Its description in RNAcentral is "bacterial SSU rRNA". It matches the Rfam family "Bacterial small subunit ribosomal RNA", at positions 568 to 898 of the family's 1533-position model. Lineage: Bacteria; Pseudomonadati; Bacteroidota. The record is from RNAcentral.
UGCGUAGGCGGGCUUUUAAGUCAGCGGUGAAAUCUCCGGGCUCAACCCGGAAAUUGCCGUUGAUACUAUUAGUCUUGAAUUAAGUUGAGGUGGGCGGAAUAUGUCAUGUAGCGGUGAAAUGCUUAGAUAUGACAUAGAACACCGAUUGCGAAGGCAGCUCGCUAAACUUAUAUUGACGCUGAGGCACGAAAGCGUGGGGAUCAAACAGGAUUAGAAACCCUGGUAGUCCACGCCCUAAACGAUGAUUACUCGAUCUUAGCGAUACACAGUUAGGGUCUAUGCAAAAGCAUUAAGUAAUCCACCUGGGGAGUACGACCGCAAGGUUGAA